UACGUAGGGGGCUAGCGUUGCUCGGAAUCACUGGGCGUAAAGCGCACGUAGGCGGCGUCUUAAGUCAGGGGUGAAAUCCUGGAGCUCAACUCCAGAACUGCCUUUGAUACUGAGAUGCUUGAGUCCGGGAGAGGUGAGUGGAACUGCGAGUGUAGAGGUGAAAUUCGUAGAUAUUCGCAAGAACACCAGUGGCGAAGGCGGCUCACUGGCCCGGUACUGACGCUGAGGUGCGAAAGCGUGGGGAGCAAACAGG
Molecule: ribosomal RNA, 253 nt
Filed under: uncultured bacterium
Lineage: Bacteria
Description: partial 16S ribosomal RNA
Rfam family: Bacterial small subunit ribosomal RNA
Source: RNAcentral